GGGUGUUUACAGCACCAAAACCCCAAAUGUCCCAAUUCCCCAAAUCCUGCUGGGCCUGGGCGCCUCCAGCUUCGAGUUCAGGCUGGAUCCCAGUGCUGACCCCGAACUGGCUCUGGUAGAGACAUCGAAAUUCCCAGGAAUUGGGGAAUUUCCAAUGUUGUGAUCCCACAAACCCCGAAUCUCCUGACUCCCACAACACCAACCCCAAAGUUCUCAGGAAUUGGGCAAUUCCCAAUGUCAGAUUUCCCACAAAACCCCGAAUCUCCACAGCACCGAACCCCAGGGCUCCCAUUUCUUGCACCGCCAGCUGUGUUUGGGGUGUUUUGGGGUGUUGUGUCCCAUUUCCCUGAUCCCAGUCCCUGUGUUUUGGGUGUUCUGUCCCGUUUCCCCAUCCCAGUCCCUGUUUUUGGGGUGUUGUGUCCCGUUUCCCCAUCCCAGUCCCUGUGUUUGGGGUGUUUUGGGGUGUUUUUGGGG
This 474-nucleotide long non-coding RNA is filed under the name Zonotrichia albicollis (white-throated sparrow). RNAcentral's name for it is "lncRNA (ENSZALG00000001100.1)". Lineage: Eukaryota; Metazoa; Chordata; Aves; Passeriformes; Passerellidae. The record is from RNAcentral.